AAAAAAGAAAGCAAAAUUAACAAAGAAACUGUUGAUUAUAUGUUAAUGUGGGGUGGCUUUUUUUUCUUUCUUUGUUGCCGUUAGUGAUAAGCACGCCUGGCACUCAUCAUUCCCUCCAACCCAACUCCUCCUUCUCUCAAUCUCUCUCUAACUUUUCUCUCUCUACAAUUCAUUUUGCUCCCACCUUCUCCCUCUCUCUCCCUCUCUUUCCCCUCUUUCGUCUUUUUACUAUUUCUUUCCUUUUCUCUUGGCUGUACCAGCUUUCCUCUCUGUCUUUGCUACUUGAAGAAAAAGAGUUUUUUUUUUCCCUUUCUUCUUCAAAGAAAAAAAAAGGAAGUAACACAAAAUCUGAUUUUUUGCUUUCAUAAUUUUGGUAGCUAGAUUGGAUCUGGGUCUGCUUCUUUAUUGGAUUAUUAUCAGGGUAAUCUGGUUUCUGUAUUCAAGCCAAAGCUAAAGAAAUUGAAAUAAUUGAAGUGCAGAAACAUAUGGCUGUUUCGAUGAGGGAUUUGGAUCCUGCUUUCCAGGGAGCUGGACAGAAAGCUGGCUUAGAAGUAUGGAGGAUUGAAAACUUCCGUCCUGUUCCUGUCCCAAAGUCUUCUUAUGGGAAAUUUUUCACGGGUGACUCCUAUGUUAUUUUGAAGACAACUGCCCUAAAAAGUGGUGCCUUGCGCCAGGAUAUUCAUUAUUGGCUGGGUAAAGAUACCUCUCAGGACGAAGCAGGUGCAGCUGCUGUCAAAACAGUGGAACUAGAUGCAGCCCUUGGAGGUCGCGCUGUGCAGUAUCGUGAAGUACAGGGCCAUGAAACUGAGAAGUUCCUGUCUUAUUUUAAACCAUGUAUCAUACCUCAAGAAGGAGGGGUUGCAUCUGGAUUCAAACAUGCUGAGGCUGAAGAACACCAGACACGCUUAUUUGUUUGCAAAGGAAAACAUGUUGUCCAUGUAAAAGAGGUUCCUUUUGCUCGAUCCUCCCUCAACCAUGAUGAUAUUUUUAUUCUUGACACCGAGUCAAAAAUAUUUCAAUUUAAUGGUUCCAAUUCAUCUAUCCAAGAGAGAGCUAAAGCUUUAGAAGUAGUCCAGUAUAUCAAGGAUACUUAUCAUGAUGGAAAAUGUGAGGUAGCUGCCAUUGAGGAUGGGAAGCUGAUGGCCGAUGCUGAAACUGGAGAAUUCUGGGGUUUCUUUGGUGGUUUUGCUCCACUUCCUAGGAAAGCAAUCACUGAUGAGGAUAAGACAGCCGAUUCUGAUCCUUCUAAGCUGUUUCGUGUUGAGAAGGGGCAGGCAGAACCUGUGGAGGCAGAUUCUUUGACAAGGGAAUUGCUACAGACUAAUAAGUGCUACAUUCUAGAUUGUGGAUUGGAAGUGUUUGUAUGGAUGGGUAGAAAUACUUCACUUGAUGAAAGAAAGAGUGCAAGUGGAUGUGCAGAGGAGUUAGUCCGUGGAGCUGAUCGACCAAAGUGCCACAUUAUUCGUGUAAUUGAGGGAUUUGAGACAGUGAUGUUCCGGUCAAAGUUUGAAUCAUGGCCUCAGACAGCUGAUGUAGCUGUAUCUGAGGAUGGCAGAGGCAAAGUUGCAGCCCUUCUAAGAAGGCAGGGAGUUAACGUCAAAGGCCUACUGAAAGCUGCUCCUACGAAGGAAGAACCUCAACCAUAUAUUGAUGUCACAGGAAAUUUACAGGUUUGGCAUGUGGAUGGCCAGGAAAAGUUUCUCCUUCAAGCUUCAGAUCAGUCAAAAUUUUACAGUGGUGAUUGCUAUAUUUUUCAAUAUUCAUAUCCAGGAGAAGAUAAGGAGGAAUAUCUUAUAGGAACAUGGUUUGGGAAGAAGAGUAUUGAGGAGGACAGAGCUUCUGCUAUAUCACUGGCAAGCAAGAUGAUUGAAUCAUUGAAGUUUCUGCCUGCACAGGCUCGCUUCUAUGAAGGAAAUGAACCAAUUCAGUUCUUCUCAAUCUUCCAGAGCUUUAUUAUUUUCAAGGGUGGUGUUAGCACCGGAUACAAGAAUUAUAUUGCAGAGAAGGAACUCCCGGAUGAGACAUACAAGGAGGAUGGUCUCGCUUUGUUCCGGGUUCAGGGUUCUGGACCAGAUAACAUGCAAGCAAUACAAGUCGAACCAGUUGCAUCGUCUCUGAACUCCUCUUACUAUUACAUAUUGCACAAUGAUUCCACUAUCUUUACUUGGUCUGGGAACCUUACAACUUCAGAGGGCCAGGAAAUUGUGGAAAGGCAGCUGGAUCUGAUAAAGCCAAAUGUACAGCCCAAGCCACAAAAGGAAGGUUCAGAAUCUGAGCAAUUUUGGGAUCUGUUGGGAGGAAAGUCUGAAUACCCUAGCCAAAAAAUUGGGAGAGAAGCUGAAAGCGACCCUCACCUUUUCUCAUGCAUAUUUUCAAAGGGAAAUCUGAAGGUGACAGAGAUAUACAACUUUACCCAGGACGAUUUGAUGACUGAAGAUAUGUUCGUUUUGGAUUGUCACUCUGAAAUCUUUAUAUGGGUGGGGCAGCAGGUUGAUUCCAAGAACAGAAUACAUGCUUUAACUAUUGGAGAGAAAUUUCUGGAGAGUGAUUUUCUGUUAGAAAAAUUAUCUCGUGAAGCUCCAAUAUUUAUUGUUGCGGAAGGGAGUGAGCCACCUUUCUUCACUCGUUUCUUUUCAUGGGAUUCCACAAAAUCUGCUAUGCAUGGGAACUCAUUCCAAAGGAAACUUGCAAUUGUCAAGAAUGGGGGUACUCCAAUUCUAGAUAAACCCAAACGAAGAACACCUGUAUCUUAUGGAGGAAGAUCUAGCGUGCCAGACAAAUCACAGCGUUCCAGAAGCAUGUCUUUCAGUCCUGACCGUGUUCGUGUGAGGGGCAGGUCGCCAGCUUUCAAUGCAUUAGCUGCUAAUUUUGAGAACCCUAAUGCUAGAAAUCUUUCAACCCCACCUCCUGUCGUUAGAAAGAUUUUUCCAAAAUCUGUGACGCCAGAUUCAGCAAAUAUGGCUUCCAAAUCUGCAGCUAUAGCAGCACUCACUGCAUCUUUUGAACAACCGCCACCAGCACGACAAGUUAUCAUGCCCCGCUCUGUCAAAGUCAACCCUGAAUCACCGAUAUCAACUCCUGAGAAAUCAACACCUAAACCUGACUCGAACAAUAAGGAGAACUCUAUGAGCAGCAAAUUAGGAUCCCUCACCAUACAGGAAGAUGUGAAAGAGGGUGAAGCUGAAGAUGAGGAAGGGCUCCCAAUAUAUCCAUAUGAACGCCUUAAAAUCAACUCAACAGACCCUAUCAGUGAAAUUGAUGUGACAAAGCGAGAGACUUACCUCUCAUCAGCAGAGUUCAGGGAGAAAUUUGGGAUGACAAAGGAUGCCUUCUAUAAGAUGCCAAAAUGGAAACAGAACAAGCUUAAAAUGGCCCUUCAGUUGUUCUGAGUCUCCUUCAUGCCUCUGCAUUUCCUUCAGCUCUGCUGCAGGUCGAAGAAAGCUUAAUUUGUGAACCCUGGGUGAGCUCAGUUUCUCAGAAGUGAAAGGGACAGCAUCAGUGCAUUUUUAGCUGCUUCUGCUCCCAGGAACCUUUGUUUUCUUGAUUGAUGACAGAUAUUUUUUUCCCAUAUUUAAUUAAUCUCCUUCCAUCUGGUGGUUUUGAACGUCUAGCUUUAUAACUUUUGGCCCCUCUUUUUGGUUGAGUUAGCUGCUUGGUAUUAUUAUUCUUUAUGAUCACAGGUUUGUUGUGAGCUUGAAUUUUUGUUUAUCAUUUUUUCACUGGAAAAAAAAUUCUAUUUAUGUAGUGAUCAGGUGCUUGUCAAUGCACAACAGACAGUUUAGGAUGUAUUGUACAACUGAGGAUGGGGAAGUGUGUACAGCAGAGUGUAAAAACGAGUCCACUCAUCAUUUCUUUUCAAUAAAAGCGUGCUUUUUGUAA
This is an RNA transcript of Ricinus communis (castor bean), 3879 nucleotides long. It is a transcript of the gene named villin-4, with no coding region annotated. Lineage: Eukaryota; Viridiplantae; Streptophyta; Magnoliopsida; Malpighiales; Euphorbiaceae. The record is from RefSeq and is a predicted model, not a curated record. The transcript has 24 exons.